This 447-nucleotide ribosomal RNA is filed under the name uncultured bacterium. Its description in RNAcentral is "bacterial SSU rRNA". It matches the Rfam family "Bacterial small subunit ribosomal RNA", at positions 32 to 507 of the family's 1533-position model. The record is from RNAcentral.
AAUCAACGCUGGCGGCGCGCUUAACACAUGCAAGUCGCACGAGAAAGUGGAGCAAUUCAUGAGUACAGUGGCGCACGGGUGAGUAACACGUGGAUCAUCUACCUCGUAGUGGGGAAUAACCCUGGGAAACCGGGGCUAAUACCGCAUAAUCCCGAGAGGGCAAAGCAGCAAUGCGCUGUGAGAAGAGUCCGCGGCCGAUUAGCUUGUUGGCGGGGUAAAAGCCCACCAAGGCAACGAUCGGUAGCCGGCCUGAGAGGGCACACGGCCACACUGGCACUGAAAUACGGGCCAGACUCCUACGGGAGGCAGCAGUGGGGAAUCUUGCACAAUGGGGGAAACCCUGAUGCAGCGACGCCGCGUGAGUGAUGAAGCCCUUCGGGGUGUAAAGCUCUUUCGACGGGGACGAUAAUGACGGUACCCGGAGAAGAAGCUGCGGCUAACUACGUG